UUGAUCCUGGCUCAGAAUCAACGCUGGCGGCGUGCCUAACACAUGCAAGUCGAACGCGAAAGUCCCGCAAGGGAUGAGUAGAGUGGCAAACGGGUGAGUUACACGUGGGUGACCUGCCUUCGAGCGGGGGAUAACGUCCCGAAAGGGACUCUAAUACCGCAUGACAUCCUGCCUUUGAACAGGCGGAGAUCAAAGCUGGUGAUCGCAAGACCUAGCACUCGAUGAGGGGCCCGCGCCUGAUUAGCUAGUUGGUGAGGUAACGGCUCACCAAGGCGACGAUCAGUAUCCGGCCUGAGAGGUCGGACGGACACACUGGGACUGAGACACGGCCCAGACUCCUACGGGAGGCUGCAGUGGGGAAUUGUUCGCAAUGGGCGCAAGCCUGACGACGCAACGCCGUGUGGAGGAUGAAGACCUUCGGGUCGUAAACUCCUUUCGAUCGAGACGAAUGGCCUUCGGGUGAACAAUCCGGAGGAGUGACGGUACCGAGAGAAGAAGCUCCGGCUAACUCCGUGCCAGCAGCCGCGGUAAUAAGGU
RNAcentral lists this ribosomal RNA (537 nucleotides) under uncultured Acidobacteriota bacterium. Its description in RNAcentral is "bacterial SSU rRNA". It matches the Rfam family "Bacterial small subunit ribosomal RNA", at positions 13 to 529 of the family's 1533-position model. The record is from RNAcentral. Lineage: Bacteria; Pseudomonadati; Acidobacteriota.